Long non-coding RNA from Carassius auratus (goldfish), 711 nucleotides. RefSeq lists it as uncharacterized. The transcript has 3 exons. Lineage: Eukaryota; Metazoa; Chordata; Actinopteri; Cypriniformes; Cyprinidae. The record is from RefSeq and is a predicted model, not a curated record.
UUGAUCGACGGGACGUCGAUUUAAAAUAAGGGGGGUGUAUUGUAAUGGGGUGGAGGUAGCAUUAGUUGUGGCUCCAUAUUAGGCAUGCUUGGGACUACAAAUGUGUUGGACUACAGAUCCCAUGAGUCCAAGUACUAUAAAGGGGGAUAUCAAAUCUUCUGGCCUUUCUCUUUGUGGGACCAUGUGCUGCGUAGGAGAAGCUGUGUGUAUGCUUAAAGGAUAUAUACUGGUGGAUGCCUCAGAAAUUGAGUAGAUUCAUUCAUUAACACAGAUGAUGCAUGAUUGCCGUUUACUUUUAUCUAAAAUAUUGGUGGGUUAAUGUUGGGUUGUAAGAUAUGACUUUUAACAGUUACACUAUGAUGAAGUGAUUUGAAUUUCUUGUGGGACUGUGAUUUUGUUUCGUUUAUUUGUCUUUGUUUUGUGUUAAUCAACCAAAGACAAAGGGGUUUCCAUUCUUGUAUGCAUGGUUGACUCUUAAGGUGAUUGGGCACAAUUUGUAGUGGUUUGAGUCAAGUGCGUGUUGGUUUUCUAUUACACUUGUGUUAUUGGUUUUGUGCUGUGAUUUGAGUGUACUCUUUAAUAGUGGAACUGCCAUUGUAUGGGAUUGGGGAACCCUAUGGUCUAUAGUGGGUUAAACCUUUGUGUUCUUUUCGUUUCUUUGCCACUUCUUAUUACCAUUUGUGUUUAAUAAAUCUGUUUGUGCUUGCAAGG